CCUACGGGCGGCAGCAGUGGGGAAUCUUGCGCAAUGGGCGCAAGCCUGACGCUGCAACGCCGCGUGAAGGAAGAAAGCUUUCGGGUUGUAAACUUCUUUUCUCAGGGACGAAACAAGUGACGGUACCUGAGGAAUAAGCCACGGCUAACUACGUGCCAGCAGCCGCGGUAAUACGUAGGUGGCAAGCGUUAUCCGGAUUUACUGGGUGUAAAGGGCGUGUAGGCGGGGACGCAAGUCAGAUGUGAAAACCACGGGCUCAACCUGUGGACUGCAUUUGAAACUGGGGUUCUUGAGUACUGGAGAGGCAGACGGAAUUCACAGUGUAGCGGUGAAAUGCGUAGAUAUUAGGAGGAACACCAGUGGCGAAGGCGGGUUGCUGGACAGCAACUGACGCUGAGGCGCGAAAGCGUGGGGAGCAAACAGGAUUAGAUACCCUGGUAGUC
This 443-nucleotide ribosomal RNA is filed under the name uncultured bacterium. RNAcentral's name for it is "partial 16S ribosomal RNA". It matches the Rfam family "Bacterial small subunit ribosomal RNA", at positions 338 to 795 of the family's 1533-position model. The record is from RNAcentral.